UUUUAAACUCUAAUGGGAGAGA
This 22-nucleotide microRNA is filed under the name Callithrix jacchus (white-tufted-ear marmoset). RNAcentral describes it as "cja-miR-1305". Lineage: Eukaryota; Metazoa; Chordata; Mammalia; Primates; Cebidae. The record is from miRBase by way of RNAcentral. RNAcentral also lists the same sequence under 1 other name.